AGUGAACGCUGGCGGCGUGCCUAACACAUGCAAGUCGAACGGGCUAGUGCUUCGCACUAGUCUCUUUCUGGGGUUGUUACUCUAAGGCUACCUGCUAAAGUUAUUGCUUUAAAGCAGGGGUUUUAGGAGACUUUCCCCGAAAGGGGCCAGUGCGGAGCACUGGCCAGUGGCGAACGGGUGAGUAACACGUGGGUAAUCUACCCUCGAGUGGGGAAUAAGCUUCCGAAAGGGGGUCUAAUGCCGCAUAACGUUUCAUAACGAUGGUUAUGAAACCAAAGCCCAAAAGGCGCUCGAGGAGGAGCCUGCGUCCUAUCAGCUUGUUGGCAGGGUAAUGGCCUACCAAGGCUAUGACGGGUAGCCGGCCUGAGAGGGUGUCCGGCCACACUGGAACUGAGACACGGUCCAGACUCCUACGGGAGGCAGCAGUGGGGAAUUUUGCGCAAUGGGGGAAACCCUGACGCAGCGACGCCGCGUGGAGGAUGACGGCCUCGGUUGGUUAACGUACCGUCGUCGUACGAAGGACGGAAAGUACCGACCAAC
Molecule: ribosomal RNA, 540 nt
Filed under: uncultured bacterium
Lineage: Bacteria
Description: bacterial SSU rRNA
Rfam family: Bacterial small subunit ribosomal RNA
Source: RNAcentral